UCGGUAAUUCCAGCUCCAAUAGCAUAUAUUAAAGUUGUUGCAGUUAAAAAGCUCGUAGUUGGAUUUGUAGCGUUUAAGCGGGCCGAGAGGAUGGUUGGACCUUUACGGUAUCCGGUUCUACGCUCUACGUUCGGUGAUUGAUUACUGGCCUUAACUGGCUGGUGGUUGGUUCCGGACUGUUUACCUUGAAUAAAUUAGAGUGCUCAAAGCAGGCUCUUUAGCCUUGAAUAGUUUAGCAUGGGAUAAUGGAAUACGAUCCCAGUCUAGUUCGUUGGUAAUCUGGACUGGGAUAAUGAUUAAUAGAGAUAGUCGGGGUUAUUCAUAUUCAAUUGUCAGAGGUGAAAUUCUUAGAUUCUUUGAAGAUGAACUGUAGCGAAAGCGUUUAACAAGGAUGCUCUCAUUAAUCAAGAACGAAAGUUAGGGGAUCGAAGACGAUCAGAUACCGUCGUAGUCUUAACUAUAAACGAUACGAAUCGAGGAUUGGAUGUUGUUAAUCGUACGACUCUUUCGGAACUUCAGGGGAAACCUUUGAAUCUUUGCGUUCUGGGGGGAGUAUGGUCGCAAGGCUGAAACUUAAAGGAAUUGACGGAAGGGCACACCAGGAGUGGAGCCUGCGGCUUAAUUUGACUCAACACGGGAAAACUUACUAGGUCAGAACAUGGUCAUGAUUGACAGAUUGAUAGCUCUUUCUUAAUUUCUAUGGGUGGUGGUGCAUGGCCGUUCUUAGUUGGUGGAGUGAUUUGUCUGGUUAAUUCCGAUAACGAACGAGAUCGCAUCCUACUAAAUAGUGGCGUUAAACAUCUAUCAUGGGUGAAGGCUGCUUGAGUCGGAGGACUGGGAGACUGGCUCCUUCGGACAGGUGGUUGGAUCCUUGAUGAAUUGGCGUCAACAUACUUCUUAGAGGGACUGUCGGUGAUUAACCGAAGGAAGUGCGGCAAUAACAGGUCUGUGAUGCCCUUAGAUGUCCUAGGCCGCACGCGCGCUACACUGUCUCGUACAAUGAGUUACUUGCUGGUCCGAAGGUACUGGCGAAUCUUGUGAAUGCUUGACGUGAUGGGGAUUGAUCAUUGAAAUUAUUGGUCAUGAACGAGGAAUUCCUUGUAGGUAUGCUUCAUCAAAGCAUGCCGACUACGUCCCUGCCCUUUGUACACACCGCCCGUCGCUCCUACCGAUUGAGUGAUCAGAUGAAAUCCGCGGAUUUGAACUUGGUCCGCCUUGUCCGAAGAAGUAGAGUAAAUCUUAUUGCUUAGGGGAAGGAGAAGUCGUAACAAGGUAGCCGU
This 1280-nucleotide ribosomal RNA is filed under the name uncultured marine eukaryote. Its description in RNAcentral is "SSU rRNA". It matches the Rfam family "Eukaryotic small subunit ribosomal RNA", at positions 576 to 1806 of the family's 1831-position model. The record is from RNAcentral.